This 253-nucleotide ribosomal RNA is filed under the name uncultured bacterium. Its description in RNAcentral is "partial 16S ribosomal RNA". It matches the Rfam family "Bacterial small subunit ribosomal RNA", at positions 524 to 776 of the family's 1533-position model. The record is from RNAcentral.
UACGGGGGGAGCAAGCGUUGUUCGGAUUUACUGGGCGUAAAGGGCGCGUAGGCGGCGCAACAAGUCACUUGUGAAAUCUCCGGGCUUAACCCGGAGCGGCCAAGUGAUACUGUCGUGCUAGAGUGCGGAAGGGGCUACUGGAAUUCUCGGUGUAGCGGUGAAAUGCGUAGAUAUCGAGAGGAACACCUGCGGCGAAGGCGGGUUGCUGGGCUGACACUGACGCUGAUGCGCGAAAGCCAGGGGAGCGAACGGG